CCUGCCACCAGUACCGUCAUCGUCAUCUUUUCAGAGAUGAAGACCGUGCGUGGACAAGACCUCUUGAAUGUCUCUGCAUGAAUCGCAUCAUGGACAAUCUGUGAAGGAAGCCCGUUCUUCGCGAUAUAGAAAGCCAUGGCCUUUUAGCACUGGCGGAAAGCCCCCCUCUAGAAAUUUCUCUGAGCAGCAUCACAAAAAUAUCCUCCGACAAGAUAAAUAGUUCAGGGCCUUACAGUGAAGAAUUCGGACAAGCGUCGUGGCUUAAAAUUUUGGGACGUUAAUGCUCGGAUCCAACACAUUGCUCGAACUAGCAGCUUUAAAGCAUCAAACAUUGACAUUUUCCAGACUGCCGACUUUAAUGGACCUUGCUUUCGGGCUUGUCGAACUGUAACAUCUGCUCUGGAGAAGAAGAACAAGAAAAGGACUCAAGGAGGCUGAAAGCGCAAGCAUCUCGUCUUCUUACCCAGCUAAAAGAAUCGGCUCCAGAUUCAAGAGUGCUGAAUCCAGACAGCUGUAUGCAACUGACGGCCGGCGUCACAUUGAUACGAAGUCUAUUCCCAAUCCGACCAGGUACGGAAGACUUCUCAGCGAAAUAAUGCGUGGUCUGUACGAGGCCGGUCAAAUGAGCUAAAAGCUUGGUGGUAAAAGCAUGCUAAACUCGUUUGGCGAUGGACGGACCACGCCGCAUGUCAACGACGAACUUUGUUCCUUCCCAUGAACGUGUUCUUCGCUCAGCUAUCGUCACAGUAAGAGGUCGAGCACUCUCGGAAAAAAGUCUACUUUUCUCGGAACACUACUGCUUUCUACGGAUUGAAGAGCUUGUUUCCGCAUUGGCACCUCCAUCCUUUGGGCUUGUAAUUGGAGUAAAGAGCAG
Selaginella moellendorffii is the source of this 874-nucleotide long non-coding RNA. RefSeq lists it as uncharacterized. Lineage: Eukaryota; Viridiplantae; Streptophyta; Lycopodiopsida; Selaginellales; Selaginellaceae. The record is from RefSeq and is a predicted model, not a curated record. The transcript has 6 exons.